This 453-nucleotide ribosomal RNA is filed under the name uncultured bacterium. RNAcentral describes it as "bacterial SSU rRNA". It matches the Rfam family "Bacterial small subunit ribosomal RNA", at positions 340 to 786 of the family's 1533-position model. The record is from RNAcentral.
UACGGGAGGCAGCAGUGGGGAAUAUUGCACAAUGGGCGCAAGCCUGAUGCAGCCAUGCCGCGUGUAUGAAGAAGGCCUUCGGGUUGUAAAGUACUUUCAGUCGUGAGGAAGGUGUUAAGGUUAAUAACCUUAGCAAUUGACGUUAGCGACAGAAGAAGCACCGGCUAACUCCGUGCCAGCAGCCGCGGUAAUACGGAGGGUGCGAGCGUUAAUCGGAAUUACUGGGCGUAAAGGGCACGCAGGCGGUUAAUUAAGUUGGAUGUGAAAUCCCCGGGCUUAACCUGGGAAUGGCAUUCAAGCUGGUUAGCUAGAGUCUUGUAGAGGGGGUAGAAUUCCAUGUGUAGCGGUGAAAUGCGUAGAGAUGUGGAGGAAUACCGGUGGCGAAGGCGGCCCCUGGGACAAAGGCUGACGCUCAUGUGCGAAAGCGUGGGGAGCAAACAGGGAUUAGAUACC